Molecule: ribosomal RNA, 580 nt
Filed under: uncultured soil bacterium
Lineage: Bacteria
Description: bacterial SSU rRNA
Rfam family: Bacterial small subunit ribosomal RNA
Source: RNAcentral
GAGGGGCCCGCGCCUGAUUAGCUAGUUGGUGGGGUAAUGGCUCACCAAGGCAACGAUCAGUAUCCGGCCUGAGAGGGCGGACGGACACACUGGGACUGAGACACGGCCCAGACUCCUACGGGAGGCAGCAGUGGGGAAUUGUUCGCAAUGGGCGCAAGCCUGACGACGCAACGCCGCGUGGAGGAUGAAGAUCUUCGGGUCGUAAACUCCUUUCGAUCGAGACGAAUUGCCUUGGGGUGAACAAUCCCGAGGCGUGACGGUACCGAGAGAAGAAGCCCCGGCUAACUCCGUGCCAGCAGCCGCGGUAAUACGGGGGGGGCAAGCGUUGUUCGGAAUUACUGGGCGUAAAGGGCUCGUAGGUGGCUAACUAAGUCAGACGUGAAAUCCCUCGGCUUAACCGGGGAACUGCAUCUGAUACUGGAUAGCUUGAGUUUGGGAGAGGGACGCGGAAUUCCAGGUGUAGCGGUGAAAUGCGUAGAUAUCUGGAGGAACACCGGUGGCGAAGCGGCGUCCUGGACCAACACUGACACUGAGGAGCGAAAGCCAGGGAGCAAACGGGAUUAGAUACCCCGGUAGUCCU